Molecule: long non-coding RNA, 1690 nt
Organism: Oncorhynchus keta (chum salmon)
Lineage: Eukaryota; Metazoa; Chordata; Actinopteri; Salmoniformes; Salmonidae
Exons: 4
Source: RefSeq, a predicted model, not a curated record
AGAUGUGAGAGGAGGAGAGAUGAGAGUGGAGGGAAUGGAGGAGAGGACACAAUUCAGAUGGAUUAGAAACAUUAAUACGAAGAGAUUGUAAGUGAUAUGUGGGGAAGAAGAAAUGAUGAAGAGAAUAAGAAAGAGAAGGAACAAGACAAGGUAAAAAAACAGGUUGAACAUGCAGGAGAGAGGAUGAACAUGCAGGAGAGAGGAUGAACAUGCAAGAGAGAGGAUGAACAUGCAAGAGAGAGGAUGAACAUGUAAGAGAGAGGAUGAACAUGGAAGAGAGAGGAUGAACAUGGAAGAGAGAGGAUGAACAUGGAAGAGAGAGGAUGAACAUGGAAGAGAGAGGAUGAACAUGGAAGAGAGAGGCUGAACAUGGAAGAGAGAUAAUGAACAUGGAAGAGAGAUAAUGAACAUGUAAGAGAGAGGAUGAACAUGUAAGAGAGAGAAUGAACAUGGAAGAGAAAGGAUGAACAUGGAAGAGAGGAUGAACAUGGAAGAGAGAGGAAUGAACAUGGAAGAGAGAGGAUGAACAUGCAAGAGAGAGGAUGAACAUGGAAAAGAGAGGAUGAACAUGCAAGAGAGAGGAUGAACAUGGAAGAGAGAAGAUGAACUUGCAGGAGAGAGGAUGAACAUGUAAGAGAGAGCAUGAACAUGGAAGAGAGAGGAUGAACAUUAUUUCAGUGUGGAGUCGGAUGAGGGGACUAUGCUUCAUGAAGGCAUUAGAAUACUGUUGCUGACUGAGAGGAGUAACCAAGAACUAUAAGAGGCAGCGAAUCUCACUUUCAAUUGCUGCUGACAACAACUGCAUUGAGGCAACAACCCAAACUGUACUGGUGGUAGGUAGCCCAGUGGUUAAGGAGUUGGACCUGUGGCAGGAAUUGGACCUGAGGCUGUAAGGUUGCUGGUUUGAAUCCCGGGCUGGGUGCAGGAAAGAAAUGGGUGGAAUUGAUUUGAUAACUCUAGGGCUGCUGGGUUCACAUCCUCAAAACAUUCCCCUACAGUUGGGGCCUUGAGCAAGGCCCUUAACCCCACAACAUGCUCUCCAUCCAGGGGCGCUGCACUGCAUAUUGAACCAUGUCUUAACUGCAUGUGUGAAGUCUGCUGUUUGGGGGUGUUGAGAAUGGAGCAGAAGCCACAUUUUCGUUGUUUGCUGUAACUAAUGGACAAAGUUGUACUUUAUUGUAAAGAUGUCAGCCAGAGUUGACAUGGGCCAACAAUCAAACAAAGAGAUGCCUCCCUGGUCACCGGUGAAUAUUUCCAAACUAUGUUAGCAUAUACAGUAAUGACAAUACAUUCUAAAAACUAUGCUGGGGUUGUUUUGUCCAUUAUUUAAUUGUUUAUUAAAUUAUUUUCUUAGCAAAAAUUAUUACUAUUUAAUAGUGGUAGCCAUAAUUCAUAAAUGGCACCAUGCAGGGUUCUAUGUGGAAUCAUUUUGAUUCAGUGAAGUAGAACCUCUAUGGUUCUGGUCAAAUAACCCUACAAAAGGGUCCUAUAUAGAACAUUUAGGGGUUCCAUACCGUAUAUGAAGCAAGAUAUAUAACCCUUAUGGUUCUUUAAGGAACCUUUCUAAGAGUGUAGCUACAAACAAAUAUAUUACCUUGCUGAUGCUAAUGUUUUAUCAUCUAUAUUGGGUUUUAUUAUGGAUUUUAUGUUAUACCAUGGCAUUGUUGAACACUCAUUUCGGAUUGACUUG